This 447-nucleotide ribosomal RNA is filed under the name Leptopelis gramineus (Ethiopian burrowing tree frog). RNAcentral describes it as "partial large subunit ribosomal RNA". It matches the Rfam family "Bacterial large subunit ribosomal RNA", at positions 1920 to 2534 of the family's 2925-position model. Lineage: Eukaryota; Metazoa; Chordata; Amphibia; Anura; Arthroleptidae. The record is from RNAcentral.
CAGUUUAACGGCCGCGGUACCCUAACCGUGCGAAGGUAGCAUAAUCACUUGUUUCUUAAAUAGAGACUAGUAUCAACGGCAUCACGAAGACUAUUCUGUCUCCCCCCUAAAAUCAAUGAAACUGAUCUCCUCGUGAAGAAGCGAGGAUAUAUAUAUAAGACGAGAAGACCCCAUGGAGCUUUAAACGAACUUCAAUUGUUCCUACCCAUAACAUACAAAUUGAACACCCCCUGAUAGUUAGUUUUAGGUUGGGGUGACCGCGGAGUAAAACAAAACCUCCACAAUGAAUGAAAUAAAAUUCUUAUAAAAGAACCACAAUUCUAAUAAUCAAAAAUUUGACAUAAAUUGACCCAAACACUUGAUCAAUGAACCAAGUUACCCUGGGGAUAACAGCGCAAUCCAUUUUAAGAGCCCAUAUCGACAAAUGGGUUUACGACCUCGAUGUUG